AUUAAGGGCGCACGGUGGAUGCCUUGGCACUAGAAGCCGAUGAAGGACGUUACUAACGACGAUAUGCUUUGGGGAGCUGUAAGUAAGCUUUGAUCCAGAGAUUUCCGAAUGGGGAAACCCAGCAUGAGUUAUGUCAUGUUAUCGAUAUGUGAAUACAUAGCAUAUCAGAAGGCACACCCGGAGAACUGAAACAUCUUAGUACCCGGAGGAAGAGAAAGAAAAUUCGAUUCCCUUAGUAGCGGCGAGCGAAACGGGAAGAGCCCAAACCAACAAGCUUGCUUGUUGGGGUUGUAGGACACUCUAUACGGAGUUACAAAGGACGACAUUAGACGAAUCAUCUGGAAAGAUGAAUCAAAGAAGGUAAUAAUCCUGUAGUCGAAAAUGUUGUCUCUCUUGAGUGGAUCCUGAGUACGACGGAGCACGUGAAAUUCCGUCGGAAUCUGGGAGGACCACCUCCUAAGGCUAAAUACUCUCUAGUGACCGAUAGUGAACCAGUACCGUGAGGGAAAGGUGAAAAGCACCCCGGAAGGGGAGUGAAAUAGAACCUGAAACCGUGUGCUUACAAGUAGUCAGAGCCCGUUAAUGGGUGAUGGCGUGCCUUUUGUAGAAUGAACCGGCGAGUUACGAUUUGAUGCAAGGUUAAGCAGUAAAUGUGGAGCCGUAGCGAAAGCGAGUCUGAAUAGGGCGUUUAGUAUUUGGUCGUAGACCCGAAACCAGGUGAUCUACCCUUGGUCAGGUUGAAGUUCAGGUAACACUGAAUGGAGGACCGAACCGACUUACGUUGAAAAGUGAGCGGAUGAACUGAGGGUAGCGGAGAAAUUCCAAUCGAACCUGGAGAUAGCUGGUUCUCUCCGAAAUAGCUUUAGGGCUAGCCUCAAGUGAUGAUUAUUGGAGGUAGAGCACUGUUUGGACGAGGGGCCCCUCUCGGGUUACCGAAUUCAGACAAACUCCGAAUGCCAAUUAAUUUAACUUGGGAGUCAGAACAUGGGUGAUAAGGUCCGUGUUCGAAAGGGAAACAGCCCAGACCACCAGCUAAGGUCCCAAAAUAUAUGUUAAGUGGAAAAGGAUGUGGCGUUGCCCAGACAACUAGGAUGUUGGCUUAGAAGCAGCCAUCAUUUAAAGAGUGCGUAAUAGCUCACUAGUCGAGUGACACUGCGCCGAAAAUGUACCGGGGCUAAACAUAUUACCGAAGCUGUGGAUUGUCCUUUGGACAAUGGUAGGAGAGCGUUCUAAGGGCGUUGAAGCAUGAUCGUAAGGACAUGUGGAGCGCUUAGAAGUGAGAAUGCCGGUGUGAGUAGCGAAAGACGGGUGAGAAUCCCGUCCACCGAUUGACUAAGGUUUCCAGAGGAAGGCUCGUCCGCUCUGGGUUAGUCGGGUCCUAAGCUGAGGCCGACAGGCGUAGGCGAUGGAUAACAGGUUGAUAUUCCUGUACCACCUAUAAUCGUUUUAAUCGAUGGGGGGACGCAGUAGGAUAGGCGAAGCGUGCGAUUGGAUUGCACGUCUAAGCAGUAAGGCUGAGUAUUAGGCAAAUCCGGUACUCGUUAAGGCUGAGCUGUGAUGGGGAGAAGACAUUGUGUCUUCGAGUCGUUGAUUUCACACUGCCGAGAAAAGCCUCUAGAUAGAAAAUAGGUGCCCGUACCGCAAACCGACACAGGUAGUCAAGAUGAGAAUUCUAAGGUGAGCGAGCGAACUCUCGUUAAGGAACUCGGCAAAAUGACCCCGUAAUUCGGGAGAAGGGGUGCUCUUUAGGGUUAACGCCCAGAAGAGCCGCAGUGAAUAGGCCCAAGCGACUGUUUAUCAAAAACACAGGUCUCUGCUAAACCGUAAGGUGAUGUAUAGGGGCUGACGCCUGCCCGGUGCUGGAAGGUUAAGAGGAGUGGUUAGCUUCUGCGAAGCUACGAAUCGAAGCCCCAGUAAACGGCGGCCGUAACUAUAACGGUCCUAAGGUAGCGAAAUUCCUUGUCGGGUAAGUUCCGACCCGCACGAAAGGCGUAACGAUUUGGGCACUGUCUCAACGAGAGACUCGGUGAAAUCAUAGUACCUGUGAAGAUGCAGGUUACCCGCGACAGGACGGAAAGACCCCGUGGAGCUUUACUGUAGCCUGAUAUUGAAAUUCGGCACAGCUUGUACAGGAUAGGUAGGAGCCUUUGAAACGUGAGCGCUAGCUUACGUGGAGGCGCUGGUGGGAUACUACCCUAGCUGUGUUGGCUUUCUAACCCGCACCACUUAUCGUGGUGGGAGACAGUGUCAGGCGGGCAGUUUGACUGGGGCGGUCGCCUCCUAAAAGGUAACGGAGGCGCUCAAAGGUUCCCUCAGAAUGGUUGGAAAUCAUUCAUAGAGUGUAAAGGCAUAAGGGAGCUUGACUGCGAGACCUACAAGUCGAGCAGGGUCGAAAGACGGACUUAGUGAUCCGGUGGUUCCGCAUGGAAGGGCCAUCGCUCAACGGAUAAAAGCUACCCCGGGGAUAACAGGCUUAUCUCCCCCAAGAGUUCACAUCGACGGGGAGGUUUGGCACCUCGAUGUCGGCUCAUCGCAUCCUGGGGCUGUAGUCGGUCCCAAGGGUUGGGCUGUUCGCCCAUUAAAGCGGUACGCGAGCUGGGUUCAGAACGUCGUGAGACAGUUCGGUCCCUAUCCGUCGUGGGCGUAGGAAAUUUGAGAGGAGCUGUCCUUAGUACGAGAGGACCGGGAUGGACAUACCUCUGGUGUACCAGUUGUCGUGCCAACGGCAUAGCUGGGUAGCUAUGUGUGGACGGGAUAAGUGCUGAAAGCAUCUAAGCAUGAAGCCCCCCUCAAGAUGAGAUUUCCCAACUUCGGUUAUAAGACCCCUCAAAGAUGAUGAGGUUAAUAGGUUCGAGGUGGAAGCAUGGUGACAUGUGGAGCUGACGAAUACUAAUCGAUCGAAGACUUAAUCA
This 2912-nucleotide ribosomal RNA is filed under the name Staphylococcus aureus subsp. aureus CIGC340D. RNAcentral's name for it is "bacterial LSU rRNA". It matches the Rfam family "Bacterial large subunit ribosomal RNA". Lineage: Bacteria; Bacillati; Bacillota; Bacilli; Caryophanales; Staphylococcaceae. The record is from RNAcentral.